Molecule: long non-coding RNA, 3392 nt
Organism: Anguilla anguilla (European eel)
Lineage: Eukaryota; Metazoa; Chordata; Actinopteri; Anguilliformes; Anguillidae
Exons: 3
Source: RefSeq, a predicted model, not a curated record
UAUGUAGGCGAUGGGUUUCAGACGCCCCGAAAUUCGCAAGGAGCCCCAGCUGCUGCCUGACCCGUGAGCGGAGCCGACGCUGUCCGUGGUCCUGCAGUUCACCCCUACCAGGUCGCUGAAACACCUGAGGUGCUGAAAGGACAGCGCACUGCCAGACGCGGGGAACAGGGAGAGAGGCAUGAAUCCAAUCCGCUCGCAGGAGGAUGACCAGGCCAAGAUGGCCGAACGAAAGAAGAGCGACAUCGAUACAACCACGAAAGCAUACAAAAAAUUUUUUUUUUUUUUUUUUGCAAGAAUAAAAGAAGAAAGCAACAAAAAAAAAAAAACACCAAAGGGGGCUAUUGGGUAAACGGAACAUUUAAAUGUUCCGCUCUCUAGCAACAGUCGGAGAACAGAUCUGGAAAUUACAGUCUCGCCGAACUUUCCAAGCAGCUGCACAAUGUGAUUACAGUCGAAUAAAUGCAUUAACCGUAGUGACAAACAUUCAGGUAAGGUUAUCCAUCCUGCGAUUCACCCGUCUGUCUAUUUCCGUCCCAGAUUAAACCCUACAGGUGCCAAAUGACACACAGAUUCAUCGCCCUCGCACUGUUGCCCUGGAUAUACAAAACAGCCUUCGCAAAUCAGGCGAGGCAUCAUCCAAUGGCAUCUCCCGAUUUGCGACGACAUCCUUCAAGUACCCAUUACUGGCCUAUGGAAGGAGAACGGAACUGUGAGCCUCGUGCAGUGAUGGAGAGAGACAGAACGUUACUGCUACUGUUACAUCAUAAUCCUGAAAUGUUUAGGAAUUUAACUUCCAUUGUGAUGUCAUCAAACAGGGACACAGUCAGGGUGGUGCUACUCCUCUGAUGUCCUCACACCGCGCCAUUCCGAAGAGAGGGAUGUGUCGAUUUAUGAACGAAUCCUUUAUAUUGUGCGGCAAAGAUAACAGGCACAUCAGUCCUGAGUCAUUUUUAAGCGUUAACUACACGUGGAGGGUGCUGUGGGUGUGACCUAUCUGGUCCGUCAAUCACUUUUGUGAUUCCGUUGCCCUACAGGGAGCACUUCAGUGGAAAGUUGCACAGUCUGACAAAAAUACUCCCAAAGUUUUAUUAGAGAUCAAAUCUCUCCCAGAGAAAGUUUCAGUCACACUAAAGUAAUACCAGAAUUCUUAAAAAACCAACCCCAAUGAUAUCUUUUAACUUAAUUAUGUCUCAAUUAGGCAUAAUUGGAAGGAAGCUCCACAAACAACACAGCAAAGACCUGUCUGUCAUCUGGGUGGAUACUGUCUGAGGUUCUUGCCAGUGAAGUUUAUAAAUAAACACGUCUGAUUUUUUUCAGUUUAGUACCUCACAGGUCCAGGCUGGUUUGCCUUUUUUGUGCAUAACAUUUCCAAGAAACUGGCAAGUGUACAUGUUUUUCAUAACUGCCUUAAAAAAGAACUAGCUCUGGCCCUCUUUCAACAUCCUUACUUUUCAUCGGAGAUAUUGAUGAUAAUCAGCGCAAUUACUCAAUGACUAAUGGGCCCACUUAAAAAAUUUCGGGGAUAAAACAAGAGAAAACUGCAUCGCAGUGUGUGUGUAUUCAAUUAGUCGCGACUCUCUUGUCUGUCCAACUGCUGGGUGAUUGCCAUUGCCCUCAGUGCUCUGCAGAGCUGGGAGUGCAUCUGAGGUUUACAGAGAAAGAAAGAGAGCGGAGUUCUGUUGUACAAUUUGACUUCGGUGAACCCAGCUCAACCCGUAAAGAGGCUUUUAUUGCCAGGUUUGGGUGGGUGUGUGUGUGUGUGCGAUGAAAGAGCAGGUGGAGGAAAAGUUAUAAUGACACACUGACGCCCAAAGCGGCGUUCGGUCUACCGUUUCCACCCUCCCUGUUUUCCUACUUUGAUGCCGUAUUUGGACUUAGAAUACCAUGCCUGGCAGAGUCAGAGUCUUUCUCUGUCAGCUGUAUAUGUGCGAAUGUGUCUGACGCUAGGCUUUAACCCUUUUGAGCUCAGAGCGGUCUCACACCUGAUCCUGGAGGCCCCCUGUGUUUUUAUUCAAACCGCACGUACAUCCCCUGAGUAGUAGUGAGCUGUUAAUUCUUCCUAAUUAGACACUUCUGAUGUCUGUUGAGGGCGUGGCCAGAGAAAUGGCCGACACCCACAUGCCACUGGCCCCACCCACCCGUGAAGGAGAAGAGCAAACUGUGAACUGUUUUUUUUUUUUUUUAAAUGCUGUACGUCACGCUCGUUACUAUGGAAACGCAAAUAUGGCCCUUUGAUCCAUAUCAGUGACGUUCAUUUAUUAUUUUUUCUUUUUUAAAAAAAGAAAUUGUGUUACUGUGCGCUCGGAGAAAAAAAAAUCAGAGUUUCAUUCUCGUGGUUGAAAAACGAAGCGAUAAUUCCGCCAAUGUGGCUGAAGAGAACAAACUUGUGCUUGCAGGCUGGGGAGGGACACUGUGAUGGCUGAGGAGGCUCUCUCAGGUCAGCAGACAGACCUCAGACUCUCUUUACUCCUGUCUCCGGCGAGGGAGGGGGGCGGGAGGGAGGGUGCGCGGGGGGAUGAUCAGCUCAGCUUCUGGCAACACGGGAAGCUGCAAACUGCGGAAGGAGGGAGACCCACCUAAAAACCAAUAAGGUGAUAAUGGUCCUGUUCCCGUUUUCUGCCAUUAGGAAGCUCAGCAGGCUCACUCCUCGCAUACGUUUCCUGUUCCUGUACUGCUGUACCAUCACAACACCUCUGUGUCCAUCCAACCGACAGACUUUCAGAAAAAGCAAUGAGAAACUACACAUACCCACAAGUGUACAAUGCAACACAAUAAUCAGAUGAAGUAUUGAUACUUAAUUUAUGGAAUUUCAUAUUUCUAAUUUGGCCUGAAAUUGAUAUCAACAGAACAGAAAAAGUGCGGACAAGACACAUUAGACACAGUCAAGGAGAAACAAAAUCCACUGAAAAGGGGGAUUCUGAAUAUUCUGGCAUGCUUGUUAACCUUUUUAGUUGUCCUUGGGUCAAAAAUCCCCCUUUUCAGAGUUUAACAGCUGUGUAAACCCCCCAAAUUUAAAUUUUUGUUAGCGUGAAAUUUGAUUACUUUUCCUGGAGUGACCCUAUAAUUAGAAAAAGUUCAACAUCGCUCUAUUUAAAUAUUUUCUAUGAAAGAAGUACACCAUCAGGGCACAAAGAUUGUCUUAAAAGUCUUUUUUUUUUAAUCGUGCAGUUAAUGAAAUCAGAAGUCAUAAUUAAAGUUGAGCGCCCACACGUCUAUUACAGCAAAAAAAAAAAAAAUCAAAUUAAUUAUGUGUGCUUUGUAGUAAAAACGAGUGGUGCAGACUGAAGGAAUACAGUCUCUCUGGACUGGGAAGCGGGAAGACACUGAUAUAUUAAUGAGUGACAGGUUUGUUUCUACAUUUUAAAAUAUUGCAGUUCAAUUAAGAGGCUUUA